UAGGGAAUCUUGGUCAAUGGGCGCAAGCCUGAACCAGCCAUGCCGCGUGUGCGAAGAAGGCCCUAGGGUUGUAAAGCACUUUCAGUCGCGAAGAAAAUCUUGAGGUUAAUACCCUCAAGCCUUGACGUUAACGACAGAAGAAGAUCCGGCUAACUCCGUGCCAGCAGCCGCGGUAAUACGGAGGGAUCGAACGUUAAUCGGAAUUACUGGGCGUAAAGCGCGCGUAGGCGGCUUGGUAAGUGGGAUGUGAAAGCCCCGGGCUUAACCUGGGAACUGCAUUCCAAACUGCCAGGCUAGAGUAUGGUAGAGGGAGGUAGAAUUUCCUGUGUAGCGGUGAAAUGCGUAGAUAUAGGAAGGAAUACCGAUGGCGAAGGCAGCCUCCUGGACCAAUACUGACGCUGAGGUGCGAAAGCGUGGGGAGCAAACAGGAUUAGAUACCCCCGUAGUCC
This 449-nucleotide ribosomal RNA is filed under the name uncultured prokaryote. RNAcentral describes it as "bacterial SSU rRNA". It matches the Rfam family "Bacterial small subunit ribosomal RNA", at positions 355 to 796 of the family's 1533-position model. The record is from RNAcentral.